AUUGAACGCUGGCGGCAGGCCUAACACAUGCAAGUCGAGCGGAGCGGCGGACGGGUGCGUGAUGCCUAUGAAUCUGCCUGGUAGUGGGGGAUGACGUCCGGAAACGGGCGCUAAUACCGCAUCCUAUCAGCUGAGCCUAGGUGGGAGUAGCUAGUGGGUGGGGUAAAGGCCUACCAAGGCGACGGUCCGUACCUGGUCUGAGAGGAUGAACAGUCACACUGGAACUGAGACACGGUCCAGACUCCUACGGGAGGCAGCAGUGGGGAAUAUUGGACAAUGGGCGAAAGCCUGAUGCAGCCAUGCCGCGUGUAUGAAGAAGGUCUUCGGGUUGUAAAGCACUUUAAGUGGGGAGGCGUUACCCACAGAAUAAGCACCGGCUAACUCCGUGCCAGCCGCCGCGGUAAUUC
RNAcentral lists this ribosomal RNA (407 nucleotides) under uncultured bacterium. RNAcentral's name for it is "partial 16S ribosomal RNA". It matches the Rfam family "Bacterial small subunit ribosomal RNA", at positions 30 to 526 of the family's 1533-position model. The record is from RNAcentral.